This 496-nucleotide ribosomal RNA is filed under the name uncultured bacterium. Its description in RNAcentral is "partial 16S ribosomal RNA". It matches the Rfam family "Bacterial small subunit ribosomal RNA", at positions 28 to 506 of the family's 1533-position model. The record is from RNAcentral.
GAUGAACGCUGGCGGCGUGCCUAAUACAUGCAAGUCGAGCGAACAGACGAGGAGCUUGCUCCUCUGACGUUAGCGGCGGACGGGUGAGUAACACGUGGAUAACCUACCUAUAAGACUGGGAUAACUUCGGGAAACCGGAGCUAAUACCGGAUAACAUGUUGAACCGCAUGGUUCAACAGUGAAAGACGGUCUUGCUGUCACUUAUAGAUGGAUCCGCGCCGCAUUAGCUAGUUGGUAAGGUAACGGCUUACCAAGGCAACGAUGCGUAGCCGACCUGAGAGGGUGAUCGGCCACACUGGAACUGAGACACGGUCCAGACUCCUACGGGAGGCAGCAGUAGGGAAUCUGCCGCAAUGGGCGAAAGCCUGACGGAGCAACGCCGCGUGAGUGAAGAAGGUCUUCGGAUCGUAAAACUCUGUUAUUAGGGAAGAACAAAUGUGUAAGUAACUAUGCACGUCUUGACGGUACCUAAUCAGAAAGCCACGGCUAACUACGU